RNAcentral lists this long non-coding RNA (142 nucleotides) under Propithecus coquereli (Coquerel's sifaka). Its description in RNAcentral is "Embryonic ventral forebrain-2 long ncRNA (ENSPCOG00000003947.1)". It matches the Rfam family "Embryonic ventral forebrain-2 long ncRNA". Lineage: Eukaryota; Metazoa; Chordata; Mammalia; Primates; Indriidae. The record is from RNAcentral.
AAUUUCACACCUGGAUGUGCUCACUCAACCAAGAAUAUAGAGAAAGAGCUUCUGCCCUGAGACUCAGAAAAAUAUUCUCCUCUGCUUCGGUUCAGUAUAGAUUUCUAGACCCUGAUCAUUGCUUAAGAGAUAUGCACUGGGG